CCCAAAUCCGAAGCUCGUGAAGGAUAAAGUGUAGUACAAGUUGUUGCCGUCAUUUUAAGCUAAAGAUCGGACUUGGGGGUGUUGAUUUCGUGGUGACUACCCAAAAAGGUUAAAGUUGAAGGGAUUGGAGGACAUUGUGAUACGCUCAAAAGCGGGAAGUUAAGGUACGGAUUUACAGGACGACGCUUCUGCUCAUUAGGAUUUGCACGUAUCAGCUUAUCGGUGAGCCCCAUCUCAUUCGGGGUUUAGACAUUGUAUUUCUUUAUUUAGCUUUUCAUCUAAAGGUAUGCUGGGGGCCUUGUCCCAGUAAGUAUAUUUUUCAGUCAGACUCAUGAUAGAGGUUUCAUAGACUAGACAAGUCAGUUAUGUCAUGUCAGACAUUUGGAGUCUUAUAGCCAUUUUGGCUCACUCAUGUUUAAACAAGUAUUUAUUUAAGUAUUAUGACUUACUAAGUUUCAUAAAGGCU
Molecule: long non-coding RNA, 466 nt
Organism: Lycium ferocissimum
Lineage: Eukaryota; Viridiplantae; Streptophyta; Magnoliopsida; Solanales; Solanaceae
Exons: 3
Source: RefSeq, a predicted model, not a curated record